UACAGAGGUCCCAAGCGUUGUUCGGAUUCACUGGGCGUAAAGGGUGCGUAGGCGGUCGGGUAAGUCUGGCGUGAAAUCUCCGAGCCUAACUUGGAAACUGCGUUGGAUACUAUCCGGCUCGAGGAAUGGAGGGGAGACUGGAAUACUUGGUGUAGCAGUGAAAUGCGUAGAUAUCAAGUGGAACACCAGUGGCGAAGGCGAGUCUCUGGACAUUUCCUGACGCUGAGGCACGAAAGCCAGGGGAGCAAACGGG
Molecule: ribosomal RNA, 253 nt
Filed under: uncultured bacterium
Lineage: Bacteria
Description: partial 16S ribosomal RNA
Rfam family: Bacterial small subunit ribosomal RNA
Source: RNAcentral